Molecule: long non-coding RNA, 753 nt
Organism: Oryzias latipes (Japanese medaka)
Lineage: Eukaryota; Metazoa; Chordata; Actinopteri; Beloniformes; Adrianichthyidae
Source: RefSeq, a predicted model, not a curated record
AUUAUUUUUCUUAAGUUACUGUGAGUGUAUAAAGGGUGCUCAAUGUGUUGGCUAACCUAAUUGGAUGUCAGAUUGUCUGUCAACGGAUUCUGUGAGUGUUAUUGGUUGGGUUUUGGAUUUUAAUCCAAUCACAACAUUAGAGGGCGGGACAAUUGAAAAAAGUGUGUGCGUGUCGAACAGGCUACGUACAGAAGCUGGAAGCGUGGUUCAAGUUUCGGCUUGAUUUAUAUUCUCUGACGGUGGUGGAUGCAGAGUUCGCCAAAGGAGUUCAGAGCAUAUGAAAUGCUGCUGAAGGAGCAGGACCAGGACGCGCUCUUGGGGUAUUCCUGUGGGCAUCAGACGGAGAUCCAGAAAGUUCCCGCUGGGACCCGGGUUGUGUUCAGUCAACAUUGAACAAGAGUCCAGUUCCAGUUUGGGUCAAGUUCCUUUCCCUCACUCAUUUCCAAGUCAAUACACCAGAAUCCGCACUGACUGAACCAGGAGGUUGUGAGUACAAAAAAAAAAAAACACUGCACGUGCUUAUUUUGUUUUGCUUUCUAAGUGAAGCGGUCAAUACGUUUUAGACCUCAACGCUCCCGAGCGACGACACAGGCCUGCAACGGGUAUUUUGUUUAUUUAAAAAGGGACAUUUUUUGAGUUUGUAAGUGUUUUUAUUUUCCCAUUUUCUUGUGGAUUUGUGAACUAAGAUUCAUACUUUGUUUUUGAUUUUUGUAUUUGUUUUAAUAACUAAAUUUUCAGUUUAUUUAAACGACA